CUCCUCCAUCCUCCUCCUCCUGUCCCCACCAAGCCUCUCCCUUGCAGUCCCCAUGUCCCUACACUUGAAUUCCUUUCCCCUCCCCUGCAUCCCACACAGGGCCCCUUCAACACCCCAAUCCCAGUCCCAUGGGCUCCCCAGUUCCCCCCAGUUCAGCAUCUUUGGGUCCCCUCCUACUCCCCCCACCCUCCCUGCAGGCCCUGAAUUCCCCUGGCUCUCCUUGUCUCCAUCCCCACCCUGGGCCCUGCAGGCACAGGGGUUGGAGGUGAAACUGGGUGCAGUGGGAGCAGGGGGAGCAGAAGGGAUUUUCCCCCUCAGACGGGGGCAGCCCUGGGCUGGGGGGGCUGGGGACACCCGUGUCCCUCCCCCAGCCCCACAGGGGCCAAUCCUGCUUAACCCUUUGCUCUCCUUGCCCAGGCACUCUUGGCAGGAACCCAAAAUGAACUGCGGGAGGUGAGUGGGCCGGGGGGACUGGAGGGCAUCCAGUCUGGGAACUGGGGGACACUUUGGUCCCCCCAUCCCUCGCUGGCACCGGGGACAUCCCAGUGACCAGCCAGGGCUCCUGGUCUCUCUCCAGCUGCAUUUAGUGGACGUUGGGAUCCUGAAGACGGCUCAGCCCCCUGUGGUUGAGAAGGUGCUGGGUCUUGUUGGUGAGAAACGCGUGGCUGCAUCCCUGGAUGGCUGAGGACUGGUGGUGACACCCGUGCCCUGUCCCCCUCCAGUGGCAUGAGGAGAUGAUCAUCCCUGGAAGAACCCCCUGAUUUCCCUCAGAGCCCAGGGCCAUUUCCCCUGUAUGAUCAAUAAAUCCCUUCA
Long non-coding RNA from Pseudopipra pipra, 813 nucleotides. RefSeq lists it as uncharacterized. The record is from RefSeq and is a predicted model, not a curated record. NCBI's taxonomy places the organism in Eukaryota, Metazoa, Chordata, Aves, Passeriformes, Pipridae. The transcript has 3 exons.